Unclassified non-coding RNA from Pongo abelii (Sumatran orangutan), 148 nucleotides. It matches the Rfam family "Metazoan signal recognition particle RNA". From Rfam's summary of the family: The signal recognition particle (SRP) is a universally conserved ribonucleoprotein. Lineage: Eukaryota; Metazoa; Chordata; Mammalia; Primates; Hominidae. The record is from Ensembl.
GCUGGGCGUGGUGGUGGGCGCCUGUAGUCCCAGCUACUUAGGAGGCUGAGGUUGGAGAAUCGCUUGAGCCUGGGAGAUCGAGGUUGUAGUAUGCUGAGAUCGCACAACUGCACCCCAGCCUGGGCAACAGAGUGAGACCCUGUCUCAA